RNAcentral lists this ribosomal RNA (448 nucleotides) under uncultured bacterium. RNAcentral's name for it is "bacterial SSU rRNA". It matches the Rfam family "Bacterial small subunit ribosomal RNA", at positions 328 to 792 of the family's 1533-position model. The record is from RNAcentral.
CCGCCAGACUCCUACGGGAGGCAGCAGUCGGGAAUAUUGCGCAAUGGAGGAAACUCUGACGCAGUGACGCCGCGUAUAGGAAGAAGGUUUUCGGAUUGUAAACUAUUGUCGUUAGGGAAGAUAAAAGACUGUACCUAAGGAGGAAGCCCCGGCUAACUACGUGCCAGCAGCCGCGGUAAUACGUAGGGGGCAAGCGUUAUCCGGAUUUACUGGGUGUAAAGGGAGCGUAGGUGGCAGGGCAAGUCAGAUGUGAAAACCCGGGGCUCAACUCCGGGAGUGCAUUUGAAACUGUCCAGCUAGAGUGCAGGAGAGGUAAGCGGAAUUCCUAGUGUAGCGGUGAAAUGCAUAGAUAUUAGGAGGAACACCAGUGGCGAAGGCGGCUUACUGGACUGUAACUGACACUGAGGCUCGAAAGCAUGGGGAGCAAACAGGAUUAGAUACCCCCGUA